This 476-nucleotide ribosomal RNA is filed under the name Busseola nairobica. RNAcentral describes it as "partial 16S large subunit ribosomal RNA". The record is from RNAcentral. Lineage: Eukaryota; Metazoa; Arthropoda; Insecta; Lepidoptera; Noctuidae.
UGUCUUUUUGAAAAUAAUAUAAAGUCUAAUCUGCCCACUGAUUUUAUAUUAAAGGGCUGCAGUAUUUUGACUGUACAAAGGUAGCAUAAUCAUUAGUCAUUUAAUUGAUGACUUGUAUGAAAGAUUGAAUGAAAUAUAAACUGUCUCUUAAUUAUUAGUAUAAAAUUUAAUUUUUUAAUUAAAAAGUUAAAAUAAUUUAAAAAGACGAGAAGACCCUAUAGAGUUUUAUAUUUAAAUUAAUUAAGAUUAUUUAAAAUUUAAAAUUAAAAUUAAUUUAUUUAUUAUAUUGGGGUGAUAGAAAAAUAUAUAUAACUUUUUUUACAUAAAAACAUUUAUAAGUGAUUAAAUGAUCCAAUAAUAUUGAUUAUAAGAAAAAAUUACCUUAGGGAUAACAGCGUAAUUUUUUUUUUUAGUUCGCAUAAAAAAAAGAGUUUGCGACCUCGAUGUUGGAUUAAGAUAAAAUUUAAAUGUAGAAG